GAUGAAGAACGCAGCGAAAUGCGAUAAGUAGUGUGAAUUGCAGAAUUCAGUGAAUCAUCGAAUCUUUGAACGCACAUUGCGCCUUCUGGUAUUCCGGGAGGCAUGCCUGUCCGAACGUCAUCAAGCCCCUCGCCGGCAUCUGUUGCUUGCAACCGAAGCCUGGGCGGCACAUGGCAGAUGGCCGCCUCCUGGUGGCCACUGCCGAAAUGUAUCGGCAGACCCUUCAUGGCUGUGAUUGUGAUAAGAUUUUACUUACAAUUGCUAUGCUGACAGGCGUCUUGCCACAAGCAUCCGGGAGGUCCUCCACGGGAUCUCUUGGUAAACCAAAUCUUUUGACUUCGGAUCAGGUAGGGAUACCCGCUGAACUUAAGCAUAUCAAUAAGCGGAGGA
This 390-nucleotide unclassified non-coding RNA is filed under the name soil metagenome. Its description in RNAcentral is "partial contains 5.8S ribosomal RNA, internal transcribed spacer 2, and large subunit ribosomal RNA". The stretch from base 1 to 120 matches the Rfam family "5.8S ribosomal RNA", at positions 35 to 154 of the family's 154-position model. The record is from RNAcentral.